CAUGGUCUGCUUGGGAAAGCUCCGGCGGUGAAGGAUGGUCCCUUGGCCCAUUAGCUUGUUGGUGAGGUAACGGCUCACCAAGGCGACGAUGGGUAGCCGAGCUGAGAGGCUGAUCGGCCACACUGGGACCGAGACACGGCCCAGACUCCUACGGGAGGCAGCAGUGGGGAAUUUUGCGCAAUGGGCGAAAGCCUGACGCAUCAACGCCGCGUGCGGGAUGAAGGCCUUCGGGUUGUAAACC
This 241-nucleotide ribosomal RNA is filed under the name uncultured bacterium. Its description in RNAcentral is "partial 16S ribosomal RNA". It matches the Rfam family "Bacterial small subunit ribosomal RNA", at positions 188 to 431 of the family's 1533-position model. The record is from RNAcentral.